RNAcentral lists this ribosomal RNA (1213 nucleotides) under Nocardia jejuensis. RNAcentral describes it as "bacterial SSU rRNA". It matches the Rfam family "Bacterial small subunit ribosomal RNA", at positions 145 to 1371 of the family's 1533-position model. Lineage: Bacteria; Bacillati; Actinomycetota; Actinomycetes; Mycobacteriales; Nocardiaceae. The record is from RNAcentral.
AAGCCUGGGAAACUGGGUCUAAUACCGGAUACGACCAGGGGAUGCAUGUCCUUUGGUGGAAAGGUUUACUGGUGCGAGAUGGGCCCGCGGCCUAUCAGCUUGUUGGUGGGGUAACGGCCUACCAAGGCGACGACGGGUAGCCGACCUGAGAGGGUGACCGGCCACACUGGGACUGAGACACGGCCCAGACUCCUACGGGAGGCAGCAGUGGGGAAUAUUGCACAAUGGGCGAAAGCCUGAUGCAGCGACGCCGCGUGAGGGAUGACGGCCUUCGGGUUGUAAACCUCUUUUGACAGGGACGAAGCGCAAGUGACGGUACCUGUAGAAGAAGCACCGGCCAACUACGUGCCAGCAGCCGCGGUAAUACGUAGGGUGCGAGCGUUGUCCGGAAUUACUGGGCGUAAAGAGCUUGUAGGCGGUCUGUCACGUCUUCUGUGAAAACUUGGGGCUCAACCUUAAGCUUGCAGGGGAUACGGGCAGACUAGAGUACUUCAGGGGAGACUGGAAUUCCUGGUGUAGCGGUGAAAUGCGCAGAUAUCAGGAGGAACACCGGUGGCGAAGGCGGGUCUCUGGGAAGUAACUGACGCUGAGAAGCGAAAGCGUGGGUAGCGAACAGGAUUAGAUACCCUGGUAGUCCACGCCGUAAACGGUGGGUACUAGGUGUGGGUUUCCUUCCACGGGAUCCGUGCCGUAGCUAACGCAUUAAGUACCCCGCCUGGGGAGUACGGCCGCAAGGCUAAAACUCAAAGGAAUUGACGGGGGCCCGCACAAGCGGCGGAGCAUGUGGAUUAAUUCGAUGCAACGCGAAGAACCUUACCUGGGUUUGACAUACACCGGAAAGCCAUAGAGAUAUGGCCCCCCUUGUGGUCGGUGUACAGGUGGUGCAUGGCUGUCGUCAGCUCGUGUCGUGAGAUGUUGGGUUAAGUCCCGCAACGAGCGCAACCCUUAUCUUAUGUUGCCAGCGCGUAAUGGCGGGGACUCGUGAGAGACUGCCGGGGUCAACUCGGAGGAAGGUGGGGACGACGUCAAGUCAUCAUGCCCCUUAUGUCCAGGGCUUCACACAUGCUACAAUGGCCGGUACAGAGGGCUGCGAUACCGCGAGGUGGAGCGAAUCCCUUAAAGCCGGUCUCAGUUCGGAUCGGGGUCUGCAACUCGACCCCGUGAAGUUGGAGUCGCUAGUAAUCGCAGAUCAGCAACGCUGCGGUGAAUACGU